Molecule: ribosomal RNA, 450 nt
Filed under: uncultured bacterium
Lineage: Bacteria
Description: partial 16S ribosomal RNA
Rfam family: Bacterial small subunit ribosomal RNA
Source: RNAcentral
AUGAACGCUGGCGGCGUGCCUAACACAUGCAAGUCGAGCGGCAGCGAGGGGUGCUUGCACCCUGUCGGCGAGCGGCGGACGGCUGAGUAGCGCGUGGGAACGUGCCCCAAAGUGAGGAAUAACUGCCCGAAAGGGUAGCUAAUACCGCAUAUUAUCUUCGGAUCAAAGGAUUUAUCCGCUUUGGGAGCGGCUCGCGUCGGAUUAGGUAGUUGGUGAGGUAAUGGCUCACCAAGCCGACGAUCCGUAGCUGGUCUGAGAGGAUGACCAGCCAGACUGGAACUGAGACACGGUCCAGACUCCUACGGGAGGCAGCAGUGAGGAAUCUUCCACAAUGGGCGAAAGCCUGAUGGAGCAACGCCGCGUGCAGGACGAAGGCCUUCGGGUUGUAAACUGCUUUUAUAAGUGAGGAAUAUGACGGUAACUUAUGAAUAAGGAUCGGCUAACUACGUG